Molecule: ribosomal RNA, 464 nt
Filed under: Streptococcus mutans
Lineage: Bacteria; Bacillati; Bacillota; Bacilli; Lactobacillales; Streptococcaceae
Description: bacterial SSU rRNA
Rfam family: Bacterial small subunit ribosomal RNA
Source: RNAcentral
GACGAACGCUGGCGGCGUGCCUAAUACAUGCAAGUGGGACGCAAGGGAACACACUGUGCUUGCACACCGUGUUUUCUUGAGUCGCGAACGGGUGAGUAACGCGUAGGUAACCUGCCUAUUAGCGGGGGAUAACUAUUGGAAACGAUAGCUAAUACCGCAUAAUAUUAAUUAUUGCAUGAUAAUUGAUUGAAAGAUGCAAGCGCAUCACUAGUAGAUGGACCUGCGUUGUAUUAGCUAGUUGGUAAGGUAAGAGCUUACCAAGGCGACGAUACAUAGCCGACCUGAGAGGGUGAUCGGCCACACUGGGACUGAGACACGGCCCAGACUCCUACGGGAGGCAGCAGUAGGGAAUCUUCGGCAAUGGACGAAAGUCUGACCGAGCAACGCCGCGUGAGUGAAGAAGGUUUUCGGAUCGUAAAGCUCUGUUGUAAGUCAAGAACGUGUGUGAGAGGGAAAGUUCACGC